Molecule: long non-coding RNA, 167 nt
Organism: Pseudophryne corroboree (corroboree frog)
Lineage: Eukaryota; Metazoa; Chordata; Amphibia; Anura; Myobatrachidae
Exons: 3
Source: RefSeq, a predicted model, not a curated record
GUGAACAAGACCUCAGGUCAUCCAGGCUCCUCUUCACCCUCUAGGGGUGAGAAGAGGAAGCGAUGCCAGGGGCCCUGUCUGGAGAAAGAGAAGGAGCUUCCCUGUGCCAAAAAGAGGCGACUGACAUCGGAGGAUGCGAAAGUGGUGGCGGGCCCUUCCAGAAGAGG